UACAGAGGUCCCGAGCGUUGUUCGGAUUCAUUGGGCGUAAAGGGUGCGUAGGCGGCGGGGCAAGUCUGAUGUGAAAUCCCGGGGCUCAACCCCGGAACUGUAUUGGAUACUGCCUUGCUAGAGUACUGGAGAGGGAACUGGAAUUUACGGUGUAGCAGUGAAAUGCGUAGAGAUCGUAAGGAAGGCCAGUGGCGAAGGCGAGUUCCUGGACAGUUACUGACGCUGAGGCACGAAGGCCAGGGGAGCAAACGGG
This 253-nucleotide ribosomal RNA is filed under the name uncultured bacterium. RNAcentral describes it as "partial 16S ribosomal RNA". It matches the Rfam family "Bacterial small subunit ribosomal RNA", at positions 524 to 776 of the family's 1533-position model. The record is from RNAcentral.